This 545-nucleotide ribosomal RNA is filed under the name uncultured bacterium. Its description in RNAcentral is "bacterial LSU rRNA". It matches the Rfam family "Bacterial large subunit ribosomal RNA", at positions 216 to 722 of the family's 2925-position model. The record is from RNAcentral.
GAGAAAACAACAGUGAUUCCGUCAGUAGCGGCGAGCGAACGCGGAAGAGCCUAAACCGAACUGGUGUGAUAGCCCUGUGGCGUUGCCAGUUCGGGGUUGUGGGAUUUGAUAGAGGGAACGCAGGAACCCUCACAGAGUUACAAAGCUGCUAGGUAGUGGAAGCGUCUGGAAAGUCGCGCCAUAGAGGGUAAUGGCCCCGUACACGAAACUUAUGCAGCCUCUGAUCGAACACCCGAGUAACGCCGAAUCCGAGAAAGUCGGCGUGAAUCUGCGAGGACCACCUCGUAAGGCUAAAAUAUUACCUGUCGACCGAUAGUGAACUAGUACCGUGAGGGAAAGGUGAAAAGUACCCCGGGAGGGGAGUGAAAUAGUACCUGAAACCGUUGGUCUACAAGCAGUCAAAGCAGACUUCGGUCUGCGAUGGCGUGCCUUUUGAAGAAUGAGCCAACGAGUUACGGUAUGUGGCAAGGUUAACCCGUGAGGGGCAGCCGGAGCGAAAGCGAGUCUUAAUAGGGCGUAUAGUCGCAUGCUGUAGACCCGAAGCC